GUGAAUCAUCGAAUUUUUGAACGCAUAUUGCACUCUCUUGUAUUCCUGAGAGUAUGCCUGUUUGAUGGUAAUUAAAAACAAUCUUUAACCAAUUUUUUGUUCAAAGGAAAUGAGUUCUCCGCUUUUAUAGCGAUAGCUUGAAAUAAAUGGUCAAGUCUCAUUUUAGUCGAUUCACGUAAUAAUAUUAUUUCUCGAAAUUUUUUUUAUGUUACUAUCAAGUUUUGAUUCAUACAAAUUUGGUUUGUAUGCGAUCAAUACAAAUAUUUUUAACAUUACCUCAAAUCAGGUAGGAAUAACCG
Molecule: unclassified non-coding RNA, 299 nt
Filed under: Ambisporaceae sp.
Lineage: Eukaryota; Fungi; Glomeromycota; Glomeromycetes; Archaeosporales; Ambisporaceae
Description: partial contains 5.8S ribosomal RNA and internal transcribed spacer 2
Rfam family: 5.8S ribosomal RNA (bases 1-71)
Source: RNAcentral